CACCCUCCUUGCACCAGAGGAGGUCUAUCAGAAGCCAAAGAGGGAGGUCAAGAGCGGAACCGAGAUCACUUCCGAAGAAAGGAAACGGAAUCGUGCGAACAAGAAGCGUGGCCGAAAGGUCGAAAAGCGGAAGGAAGAGGCGGAUCGCAAGAUUGUGGAAAAGCUCAAUCCUGGUCAGGGCAAUCCUUAUGCCAAACAGAAGGCUCU
Molecule: non-coding RNA, 207 nt
Filed under: Gloeochaete wittrockiana
Lineage: Eukaryota; Glaucocystophyceae; Gloeochaetales; Gloeochaetaceae
Source: RNAcentral